RNAcentral lists this ribosomal RNA (526 nucleotides) under uncultured bacterium. Its description in RNAcentral is "bacterial SSU rRNA". It matches the Rfam family "Bacterial small subunit ribosomal RNA", at positions 1 to 520 of the family's 1533-position model. The record is from RNAcentral.
GGAUCCAGACUUUGAUUAUGGCUCAGAUUGAACGCUGGCGGCGUGCCUAACACAUGCAAGUCGAACGCGAAAGUUUCUUCGGAAAUGAGUAGAGUGGCGCACGGGUGAGUAACGCGUGGAUUAUCUACCUAUUGGUACGGGACAACAGUUGGAAACGACUGCUAAUACCGUAUAAGCUGGUAACGGGAAAGGGGGCCUCUUCUUGAAAGCUCUCGCCAGUAGAUGAGUCCGCGUUUCAUUAGCUAGACGGUGGGGUAACGGCCUACCGUGGCAACGAUGAAUAGCAGGCCUGAGAGGGUGGCCUGCCACACUGGGACUGGAACACGGCCCAGACUCCUACGGGAGGCAGCAGUGGGGAAUAUUGCGCAAUGGACGAAAGUCUGACGCAGCGACGCCGCGUGGAGGAUGAAGGUUUUCGGAUCGUAAACUCCUGUCAAGAGGGAAGAAACCUAUCAAAAAUAAUACUUUUGGUAAUUGACGGUACCUCUAGAGGAAGCACCGGCUAAUUCAGUGCCAGCAGCCGCGG